GUCGGGAAUCUUCCACAAUGGGCGAAAGCCUGAUGGAGCGACGCCGCGUGAGGGAAGAAGGCCUUCGGGUCGUAAACCUCUGUCCCCUGGGACGAUAAUGACGGUACCAGGGGAGGAAGCCACGGCUAACUACGUGCCAGCAGCCGCGGUAAUACGUAGGUGGCGAGCGUUGUCCGGAAUUACUGGGCGUAAAGGGUGCGUAGGCGGUUAUUUAAGUCUCGUGUGAAAGGCGCCGGCUUAACCGGCGAGAGCCACGGGAAACUGGGUAGCUAGAGUGCCGGAGAGGGUCGCGGAAUUCCCGGUGUAGCGGUGAUAUGCGUAGAUAUCGGGAGGAACACCAGUGGCGAAGGCGGCGGCCUAGACGGUAACUGACGCUGAGGCACGAAAGCUGGGGGAGCAAACAGGAUUAGAAACCCCAGUAGUCC
RNAcentral lists this ribosomal RNA (425 nucleotides) under uncultured bacterium. Its description in RNAcentral is "bacterial SSU rRNA". It matches the Rfam family "Bacterial small subunit ribosomal RNA", at positions 354 to 796 of the family's 1533-position model. The record is from RNAcentral.